This 736-nucleotide ribosomal RNA is filed under the name uncultured fungus. RNAcentral describes it as "SSU rRNA". It matches the Rfam family "Eukaryotic small subunit ribosomal RNA", at positions 452 to 1200 of the family's 1831-position model. Lineage: Eukaryota; Fungi. The record is from RNAcentral.
CGAUACGGGAAGGUAGUGCCAAUAAAUACCAAUACAGGGUUUAAUAGUCUUGUAAUUGNAAUGAGGACAAUUUAAAUCUCUUANCGAGGAACAAUUGNAGGGCAAGUCUGGUGCCAGCAGCCGCGGUAAUUCNAGCUCCAAUAGCGUAUAUUAAAGUUGUUGCAGUUAAAAAGCUCGUAGUUGAAUUUUAGGCCUGGUUGACGGUCUGCUCUAGGGUUUGACUGUCCUGACUGGGUCUUACCUUCUGGUGAGCUGUCGUAUUGUUUACUCAGUGCGGCAGGGAACCGGGACUUUUACUUUGAAAAAAUUAGAGUGUUUAAAGCAGGCAUUCGCUUGAAUACAUUAGCAUGGAAUAAUAGAAUAGGACUUUGGUUCUAUUUUGUUGGUUUCUAGGACCGAAGUAAUGAUUAAUAGGGAUAGUUGGGGGCAUUAGUAUUUAAUUGUCAGAGGUGAAAUUCUUGGAUUUAUUAAAGACUAACUUCUGCGAAAGCAUUUGCCAAGGAUGUUUUCAUUAAUCAAGAACGAAAGUUAGGGGAUCGAAGACGAUCAGAUACCGUCGUAGUCUUAACCAUAAACUAUGCCGACUAGGGAUCAGGCAAGGAUAUUUUGACUUGUUUGGCACCUUAUGAGAAAUCAAAGUUUUUGGGUUCCGGGGGGAGUAUGGUCGCAGGGCUGAAACUUAAAGGAAUUGGCGGAAGGGCACCACCAGGAGUGGAGCCUGCGGCUUAAUUUGACU